AAAUGCGAUAAGUAAUGUGAAUUGCAGAAUUCAGUGAAUCAUCGAAUCUUUGAACGCACAUUGCGCCCGCCAGUAUUCUGGCGGGCAUGCCUGUUCGAGCGUCAUUACAACCCUCAGGCCCUCGGGCCUGGCGUUGGGGAUCGGCGGAAGCCCCCUGCGGGCACAACGCCGUCCCCCAAAUACAGUGGCGGUCCCGCCGCAGCUUCCAUUGCGUAGUAGCUAACACCUCGCAACUGGAGAGCGGCGCGGCCACGCCGUAAAACACCCAACUUCUGAAUGUUGACCUCGAAUCAGGUAGGAAUACCCGCUGAACUUAAGC
This 319-nucleotide unclassified non-coding RNA is filed under the name plant metagenome. RNAcentral describes it as "partial contains 5.8S ribosomal RNA, internal transcribed spacer 2, and large subunit ribosomal RNA". The stretch from base 1 to 104 matches the Rfam family "5.8S ribosomal RNA", at positions 51 to 154 of the family's 154-position model. The record is from RNAcentral.